CUCCUGAGCUCUUGCUCUCUCUCUCUCAAAAAAUAAAUAAAAUCUUUAAAAAAAAAACCCAGUGCAUUUAAUUGUAAUGUUAUGGUAGCCAUAAAAUAUCAGAAAUAAAAAUUAGGAACAUGACUUAUUUAUUUUGUUUGAGAAUGUAUAACUGAAACCUAUCUUAUGACAAUUGAAGACUAAGGGAUAUUUGUAUCAAUAAGGCAAUAUGGAAAUAAUAUAAAUGCUGUUUGCCUCUGCCUUAGCUUUAAGAUAGGCCAGCCCUGCUCACUAAUACCAUUUUAUAGUCUAGGAACUGCAUGCCCAUCUGUAGCUGUAAGAACCUGCUUUUUCCCCUAUCAGUGACCACUUUCACUUGCCUCGAACUUUUAUGAAAACUGGACUCCUCCUUGGCUGAGUUCCAAGUCCUCAUCAUCUGGGCUUUGUCUUCAGGCCAGAUUCCAGGGUGCCAUACUUCCAGGUGUCAGACCAAGACACAGUCGUGCCAAAGGAAAGAGACAAUGUCUGCUUCUUUGAGAACACCUUGCCCAGGAUCUGCACCCAGGCUUAGCACUCAGCUUGCAUUGGCGAAAAUUAUAUCAGAAAUCUACACUUAGGCCAAUUGUCAAGUCCAGGUCUCUUGCUGCACAGCAGAGGGAAAACCAGAAUGAAUACUCCCUGGAAAGCCCAUCUGAGAAAAGGCACCCCAGAAGGGGGCUCAUUCAGGUGUUGCAUUUUCUUCUCUGGAGAUUGUCCACCAAAUACAUCACUUCACUCUGUCAUACAGCAGUAUGUAUAAUACAAUACUAGGAUGACCCAAGAAGAAAUGCUACCUGGAUAGUUUGAUGAUGGUAAAACUUUUACUUUUUGAUAUAUACCCAUAACACUAAACAUGUACUAAUAACUUCAGUAUAAACCCCUCAGCAAUUGG
RNAcentral lists this long non-coding RNA (910 nucleotides) under Vulpes vulpes (red fox). RNAcentral's name for it is "lncRNA (ENSVVUG00000019166.1)". Lineage: Eukaryota; Metazoa; Chordata; Mammalia; Carnivora; Canidae. The record is from RNAcentral.